Drosophila ficusphila is the source of this 4296-nucleotide long non-coding RNA. RefSeq lists it as uncharacterized. NCBI's taxonomy places the organism in Eukaryota, Metazoa, Arthropoda, Insecta, Diptera, Drosophilidae. The record is from RefSeq and is a predicted model, not a curated record. The transcript is spliced from 2 exons.
ACGAGGACGAAGCCACUGGCUGUUUCGAGGUGAUUUCUUUUUAGUGCAAAGUAGCAUUCAGUUAUCACAAACUGUGUAAGCUGUAGACCACAACUAUAGUAUGAUAUAACGCACAGGAAUUAUUCAUAAAUUAAACAAAUCAAAAUGGGUGUUGUUACUUGUGAAUUUUGUGGAAACAGUUUUCGCCAUAAAACCUCCAUAACUUCAUAUGGAACAUAAAAAGAAAAACCUCACGUCUAACGAAACUCGUUAUUGUGGUGUAUUUGAGCAACACGUUGAAUACAUUAGCUGGUCGUAUCAUUUGCGUACCAACUUGCAUUAACAAUUAUCUAGUACGCAAAUAAGCGGUUACCUGAGGUGUAUAAAAAGUGAAUUUUGGAAUCGCAUUGAAACGUAUAUAAUCGAAAAUCCUAAAAAAGAAUGUCGGGAUAUCACAUUAUUUUAUCAAUAAAUCGAUGGACAAGUGAUCAAUUUACCUCUUGAAGUAAAUUGAGGUUCUACAAAUACAUAUCAAUAUAUGUAAAUUCGAACAAUUUUCUAAUUAUGUUUUUUUAAAGAGAGUCAAGAGCACUGUCAAAUGAACCUUAAAUCGUUUCAAACGAAAAUGCAAACUUAAAAUCCAACAAUGUCUGAUAAUGAGAAACUGAAUGAAAUAAUCAAUAAUUAAUAAUUUAUACAAAAAAUGAAAUGAGUGAAUUUCAAAAACGUGACAGUAGUUGGUCAAUAAUUGAAACAGCACAUUUGGAAGUGAAUAUAAAUAAAUACCAACCUCUAAGGGAUUCAAAUUACAUUUGUUUACCGAAAUAAAUAUUUUGUAAAGGAUCAUGUGUCAAUGUGCAAAAUAAAGAUGUUUAUUGCUUUAAAUGGGCAUUAAUAUCGGCUUUCGCUAAAGUGGACAAGAGUAAAUAUAACCGAAAUCGAACUAUUUAUUAAAAAUAAAGAGUCGUUCACAACAUUAAAUCGGAUAUAAACACAAUAAAUAAUAAAACAUUAAAUUUUAUUGACUUAAAGUUUAUAAAACCGGUUGAUAAAAUUAAAACAUUUGAAGAAAAUAAUCCUGAAAUUAGUAUAACUGUGUUGGGAGUAGACGACGAUGAUCGCACAAUAAUCGGAUCAUAUUAUUUUACCAAUAAUAAAACUAAUAACGUACACAGCAUAUAUCUGCUUCAUCUCGAAAAGGAGGAAAAAUAUCAAUAUAUUUGGAUUAGAAAUAUUUCAAGAUUACUUCGCAGACAAGUGACGAUAACGAAAUGGUCAAAUAUAUUUAUGUGCAACGACAUAGCUCAGAGUGUAAUAGAAUUAUAGUUGAGAUGCAAUGGAAAAACGAUUUUCUAUUAAGACUUAAGAAUUAUAAAAAACAACUAGAUGUCACUAUGCUGAUUUUGAAUGUAUUUUGGAAGGGAUAGAUAUUAAAAGUAAAGAUAACAUAAGCCUAAUUCAAAAGCAUAUAACAUAUGCAUAUAGUUAUUACAUAAAAUGUUUACUUGAUAAUAACUUGGAUAUAUCAUCGUUUUAGACCAUUGUCAUUUAACAGGAGAAUUGCAAGUUAUUUAAAAUAACAAUUUUAUAAAAGUGUGUAAAAAAUCUAUAAUUUAGCUCCAUGUCAAUAUUAUACAACGCCUGGUCUAUCAUGGGAUGGUCUAUCAUGGGUUGCAAUGUUGAAAACAACUAUAAUUUCAUUAUAAAAGGUAUUAGAGGUGGUCUUGUUUAAUGCAGUGGACGUCAUUCACUUGCAAAUAAUAAAUAUCUAACGAACGACUAUGAUUGCAACAAAUAAUCAAAUUAUAUUGUAUACUUAGAUGUUAAUAAUUAAUAUGGAUAUAUCAUGUUACAAGCUAUUCCAUAUAAAAAUUUUAAAUGGUUAAAAAUGUUAAAAAUGCAAAUGAUUCUCUAGUUGGUUAUAGUAUUUUAGAAGUAGACUAAUGAUUUACCAUUUUGUCCGCAAAACAAAAUAAAUAAAAAUAUGCUACAAACAAAAUUGAUUGCAGACUUGACACAGAAACAUAAUUAUAUAAUUCACUAAAGAAAUUUACAUCGUGGAAUGAUUUUAAAGAAAAUUCAUCGAAUAUUACAAUUCGAUCAAUCUGAUUGGCUUAAAACAUAUAUUUACUGUAAUAAUCAUUAUAGAACAUUAGCUGUUAAUGAAUUUGGAAAUAAUUUUUUCAAACUUCUAAACUAUGCGGUGUAUGGCAAGACUAUGGAAAAUGUUGACAAGAGAAAAUCAAUUAAAUUAGUAUCCAGUUGGGAGAAUCAAUUAAAAAAUUAGGUGCUAGAGCACUUAUCUCAAAAUUUAAUUUCAGUAAUGUAUGAUAUUUCAAUUCACUGAAGAUUUGUUCGCAAUACAAAUGAAAAAAAGAUCUGUUGCUUCUGUUACUUCUUUCUACAUUGCAAUGUCGACCAAUGCAUUGGUUUCACCGUUCUCGAAUUAUCAAAAUAUAAUAUGUAUAGUUUUCACUAAGACUAUAUGAAACCGAAAUAUCAAGAAAACUUUAAAUUAAUGUAUAUGGAUAUUGAUUCUUUUAUCUAUGAUGUUAAGACUAUAGAUUUUUAUGAUGACAUUCGUUGUGAAAAUGAACAGCAUUUUGAUACAUCAGAAUAUGCUGAAGACAAUGUUUUUAAUAUACCAUUGUUAAACAAAGAAAAAUUAAGCAUGACGGAUAAUGAACCUUUCAUUUUAAAAUUAUACAUAUCAAUGUCGGUGACCAGUUCUAAUUCUAUUGUAGUUGUUUUCAACAUUGCAUCCCAUGAUAGACACGGUGUUGUAUAAUAUUGACAUGGAUCCAAAUUAUAGAUUUUUUUACACACUUUUCUAAAAUUUUUUCUUUUAAAUAACUUGCUUAGCUAUCUAGACUUUAAGGCAUAAAUCCGAAUGAUUCCAAAAAUCGAAGUUCUUAAAUUUCAUUUUAUCUUUUUACAAUUUUCUUUGAUAUGAAUAUAUAUAACUCUUUGUUUAAUGGUAUUAUAGAAAUUUUACCAUCAAUUUUUGUUAAUUCCUUCACAAAUAAAUGACAAUCGUAUGCUGAUAGAUUAUGGAAAAAUAUUGGGAAAAACUUGCUUGCUUGCUAAUAGUCAAAGAUAUAACUUAAGUUAAAAUAAAACUCAUGAAAACAUAUGAAUAUGUAUAUGUAAACAAAAAAAUUUAUGACCCCAUGUGUCUAUGUUAUUAUCUUUUACAUGUCGCUUAUAAUUUAAAUAGUUUUUGUUUUUUAAUACAAGCAAUAUCGAAAAUCAUCAAUAGUAAAUUUUUAAGUUACACUAGUCUUUACAACUUUAAUUUUUUUUCUUCGUUGUUGAUGUAUUAGCAUUAUUUAUUUUACAGAUUUCUAUCGAAUACCUACAUUUUAGCUCUGAGUCCAAUAAGUUAUUUUAUUAUAUUCCCUUUGCAUUCAUCUUUCAUCAUGCCUAAUUUUUUUUGCUUAGCAAUGGUAUAUUAAAAACGUUGUCUUCAGAAUAUUCUGAUGUAUCAAAAUGCUGUUCAUUUUCACAACGAAUGUCAUCAUAAAAAUCUAUAGUCUUAACAUCAUAGAUAAAAGAAUCAGUAUCCAUAUACAUUAAUUUAAAGUUUUCUUGAUAUUUCGGUUUCAUAUAGUCUUAGAGAAAACUAUACAUAUAUAUUAUAUUUUGAUAAUUCGAGAACGGUGAAACCAAUGCAUUGAUCUACAUUGCAAUGUAGAAAGGUGUAUCAGAAGCAACUGAUCCUUUUUUUAUUUGUAUUGCGAACAAAUCAUUAGUAAAUUGAAAUACAUUACUGAAAUUAUAUUUUGAGAUAAGUGCUCUAGCACCUAAUUUUUUUAAUUGAUUCUCCCAACUGGACACUAAUUUAAUUGAUUUUCACUUGUCAACAUUUUCCAUAGUCUUGCCAUACACCGCAUAGUUUAGCAGUUUGAAAAAUAACUUGCUAAGCUAUCUAGACUUGAAGGCAUAAAUCUAAAUUAUUCCAAAGAUCGAAGUUCUAAAAUUUGAUUUUUUCUAAUUAUAAUUUUUAUUGAUAUGGAUAUAUAAAACUCUUUGUUUAAUGGUAUUUUAGAAAUAUCACCAUCAAUUUUUGUUAAUUCCUUCAUAAAUAAAUGACAAUCCAUGAUAGAUUAUGGAAAAAUAUUGGGAAAAACUUGCUUGCUUGCUUGUAUAAAAAACAAAAACUAUUUAGAUGAUAAGCGACAUGUAAAAGAUAAUAAAAAAGGCACUCUUGCAUGUGGUCAUAAAGAUAUAACUUAAGCUUUGUUUGUUUUUCAAUAUCACAUAGUUUAUUAUUUCGAAAUAAAAAUUUUAAACAUAAAUGUCCACAAUUAUAUAAUA